UACAGAGGGUGCAAGCGUUAAUCGGAAUUAUUGGGCGUAAAGGGUGCGUAGGCGGUUUUAUAAGUUGGGUGUGAAAUUCCAGGGCUUAACCUUGGAGCUGCAUUCAAAACUGUAAAGCUAGAGUAUGGGAGAGGCAAGUGGAAUUUCCGGUGUAGCGGUGAAAUGCGUAGAUAUCGGAAGGAACAUCAGUGGCGAAGGCG
Molecule: ribosomal RNA, 200 nt
Filed under: uncultured bacterium
Lineage: Bacteria
Description: partial 16S ribosomal RNA
Rfam family: Bacterial small subunit ribosomal RNA
Source: RNAcentral